RNAcentral lists this transfer RNA (61 nucleotides) under Phrynocephalus albolineatus. Its description in RNAcentral is "tRNA-Pro". The record is from RNAcentral. Lineage: Eukaryota; Metazoa; Chordata; Lepidosauria; Squamata; Agamidae.
UAAAUCAUGUGUUUUGUUUUAGACUUGUUCUUGGUUAACAAAUGAACGUUUGUUUGUUUGA